AAAAUAAUCCUACCCUUUGUGAAUUUUGUUUGUUUGAAUAAUUUUUUUUUUUAAAAAUUAUUGGAGUCUUUCCCUUUAGAGUUUGCUUUUGAGUUUGUAAAAGAACUCGAAAACAUCUAAAGGGGAUGGUCAAUAAUUUUUUUUGAAAAAAGACAUUUUUUAAAAUUAAACUUUUUGUAUUCAUUUGUCUAAAAAUUAUUUUUUAUAAUAUAAAACAACUUUUGACAAUGGAUCUCUUGGUUCUCGCAACGAUGAAGAACGCAGCAAAAUGCGAUAAGUAGUGUGAAUUGCAGAAUACGUGAAUCAUCGAAUCUUUGAACGCAUAUUGCACUUUUUUAGUUUACUAAAAAGUAUGUCUGUUUGAGUAUCAGUAAAAUAUUCUCAUAAAAAUCAUUGUGUAUUUUUAUGGUUAUGAGCGUUUUACAACGAUACAAGUUGUUUCACUUUAAAUUUUUUUUUAAUAUUGAAAUUUUUCUAAUUUUAAUAAUUAAAAUUGGAUAAAAUUUUCCCGUCAAAAGGAAUAACCUAAACAAUUUAAAUGAUUAAUUUUAGCAAAAUUUUCGAAAAAAGGAAAAUUUUAUUAAAAUAACUUGAUCUCAAAUCAGAUAAGAGUACCCGCUGAACUUAAGCAUAUCAAUAAGCGGAGGAAAAGAAACUAACAAGGAUCCCUUAGUAACGGCGAGUGAAGCGGGAAGAGCUCAAAUUUGAAAUCUUCAAGGUUUUACCUUGACGAAUUGUAGUUUAAAGAAGUGUUUUCUGCUGAAGUUUUGGUAAAAGUUCUUUGGAAUAGGACAUCAUAGAGGGUGAGAAUCCCGUAUUUGACCAUUAUUUUCAGCUUUGUGAUACACUUUCAAAGAGUCGGAUUGUUUGGGAAUGCAGUCCAAAAUGGGUGGUAAAUUUCAUCUAAAGCUAAAUAUUGGCGAGAGACCGAUAGCGAACAAGUACCGUGAGGGAAAGAUGAAAGAACUUUGAAAAGAGAGUUAAACAGUACGUGAAAUUGUCAAAAGGGAAGCGUUUGACACCAGUGUUGUUUUCCCGAAAAUCAAUUAAAAAUGGCUCGAUUUUGUAUUGCUGAGACCUUAAAAGCUCACUGUACAUUUUUCGUGUCUUUUUAAUGCACUUUUCGUUUAACAAGUCAACAUCAGUUUCUUUUGUUGUAAAAGGGUCAUUGGAAGGUGGCUUUCUUUUCGGAGAAAGUGUUUAUAGCCUUUGGCCCUGCAAUCGGAAGAGACUGAGGUCCGCAGCGUAGACUCUUCGGGGUUAGAUACAUUUGUGCUAAGUUAUAGCUUUUAUAGACAACUUGUUGACUAUAAUUAGUCUUGUAGCUUACUCGCUUAUGCUAUUU
RNAcentral lists this unclassified non-coding RNA (1345 nucleotides) under uncultured Neocallimastigales. RNAcentral's name for it is "partial contains internal transcribed spacer 1, 5.8S ribosomal RNA, internal transcribed spacer 2, and large subunit ribosomal RNA". The stretch from base 592 to 1345 matches the Rfam family "Eukaryotic large subunit ribosomal RNA", at positions 1 to 617 of the family's 3401-position model. Lineage: Eukaryota; Fungi; Neocallimastigomycota; Neocallimastigomycetes; Neocallimastigales. The record is from RNAcentral.